GACGAACGCUGGCGGCGUGCUUAACACAUGCAAGUCGAACGGUAAGGCCCUUCGGGGUACACGAGUGGCGAACGGGUGAGUAACACGUGGGUGAUCUGCCCUGCACUUCGGGAUAAGCCUGGGAAACUGGGUCUAAUACCGGAUAGGACCACUGCCUGCAUGGGUGGUGGUGGAAAGCUUUUGCGGUGUGGGAUGGGCCCGCGGCCUAUCAGCUUGUUGGUGGGGUGAUGGCCUACCAAGGCGACGACGGGUAGCCGGCCUGAGAGGGUGACCGGCCACACGGGGACUGAGAUACGGCCCAGACUGCUACGGGAGGCAGCAGUGGGGAAUAUUGCACAAUGGGCGCAAGCCUGAUGCAGCGACGCCGCGUGAGGGAUGACGGCCUUCGGGUUGUAAACCUCUUUCAGUAGGGACGAAGCGCAAGUGACGGUACCUACAGAAGAAGGACCGGCCAACUACGUGCCAGCCGCCGCAGUAA
RNAcentral lists this ribosomal RNA (478 nucleotides) under uncultured bacterium. RNAcentral describes it as "partial 16S ribosomal RNA". It matches the Rfam family "Bacterial small subunit ribosomal RNA", at positions 28 to 523 of the family's 1533-position model. The record is from RNAcentral.